CCUGUCCCUAGAGGCAUUGCAGGUGUGGUUGUUCUAUCACAUGUUCAUCAGUGGUGACAAAGGAGAGGCUAUGUCUAUACUCAGUGUCCUGAUCUAUGAACAUCUUAAUUAGUAGCCUAACUUU
Molecule: small nucleolar RNA, 124 nt
Organism: Rattus norvegicus (Norway rat)
Lineage: Eukaryota; Metazoa; Chordata; Mammalia; Rodentia; Muridae
Product: small nucleolar RNA SNORA17
Source: Ensembl